RNAcentral lists this ribosomal RNA (482 nucleotides) under uncultured bacterium. Its description in RNAcentral is "bacterial SSU rRNA". It matches the Rfam family "Bacterial small subunit ribosomal RNA", at positions 29 to 506 of the family's 1533-position model. The record is from RNAcentral.
UUGAACGCUGGCGGCAUGCUUUACACAUGCAAGUCGAACGGCAGCGGGGGCUUCGGCCUGCCGGCGAGUGGCGAACGGGUGAGUAAUGCAUCGGAACGUACCCAGUCGUGGGGGAUAACUACGCGAAAGCGUGGCUAAUACCGCAUACGCCCUGAGGGGGAAAGCGGGGGACCUUCGGGCCUCGCGCGAUUGGAGCGGCUGAUGUCGGAUUAGCUGGUUGGUGGGGUAAAGGCCUACCAAGGCGACGAUCUGUAGCUGGUCUGAGAGGACGACCAGCCACACUGGAACUGAGACACGGUCCAGACUCCUACGGGAGGCAGCAGUGGGGAAUUUUGGACAAUGGGCGCAAGCCUGAUCCAGCAAUGCCGCGUGCAGGAUGAAGGCCUUCGGGUUGUAAAGCUCUUUCAGACGGAAAGAAAUCGGGCGCGUGAAUAGCGUGCCUGGAUGACGGUACUGUCAGAAGAAGCACCGGCUAACUACGU